RNAcentral lists this ribosomal RNA (644 nucleotides) under uncultured bacterium. RNAcentral describes it as "bacterial SSU rRNA". It matches the Rfam family "Bacterial small subunit ribosomal RNA", at positions 202 to 849 of the family's 1533-position model. The record is from RNAcentral.
UAAAGGUAUUCCGGUAGACGAUGGGGAUGCGUUCCAUUAGAUAGUAGGCGGGGUAACGGCCCACCUAGUCUUCGAUGGAUAGGGGUUCUGAGAGGAAGGUCCCCCACAUUGGAACUGAGACACGGUCCAAACUCCUACGGGAGGCAGCAGUGAGGAAUAUUGGUCAAUGGGCGAGAGCCUGAACCAGCCAAGUAGCGUGAAGGAUGACUGCCCUAUGGGUUGUAAACUUCUUUUAUAAAGGAAUAAAGUCGGGUAUGGAUACCCGUUUGCAUGUACUUUAUGAAUAAGGAUCGGCUAACUCCGUGCCAGCAGCCGCGGUAAUACGGAGGAUCCGAGCGUUAUCCGGAUUUAUUGGGUUUAAAGGGAGCGUAGAUGGAUGUUUAAGUCAGUUGUGAAAGUUUGCGGCUCAACCGUAAAAUUGCAGUUGAUACUGGAUAUCUUGAGUGCAGUUGAGGCAGGCGGAAUUCGUGGUGUAGCGGUGAAAUGCUUAGAUAUCACGAAGAACUCCGAUUGCGAAGGCAGCCUGCUAAGCUGCAACUGACAUUGAGGCUCGAAAGUGUGGGUAUCAAACAGGAUUAGAUACCCUGGUAGUCCACACGGUAAACGAUGAAUACUCGCUGUUUGCGAUAUACGGCAAGCGGCCA